Molecule: ribosomal RNA, 469 nt
Filed under: uncultured bacterium
Lineage: Bacteria
Description: bacterial SSU rRNA
Rfam family: Bacterial small subunit ribosomal RNA
Source: RNAcentral
UAUCACUCCUACGGGAGGNAGCAGUGGGGAAUAUUGGACAAUGGGGGAAACCCUGAUCCAGCCAUGCCGGCGUGUGUGAAGAAGGCCUUCGGGUUGUAAAGCACUUUCAGUGGGGAGGAAAGGUUGAUGGUUAAUACCUAUCAGCUGUGACGUUACCACAGAAGAAGCACCGGCUAACUCCGUGCAGCCAGCCGCGGUAANACGGAGGGUGCAAGCGUUAAUCGGAAUUACUGGGCGUAAAGCGUGCGCAGGCGGUCUGUUAAGCGAGAUGUGAAAGCCCCGGGCUCAACCUGGGAACUGCAUUUCGAACUGGCAGACUAGAGUCUUGUAGAGGGGGUAGAAUUCCAGGUGUAGCGGUGAAAUGCGUAGAGAUCUGGAGGAAUACCGGUGGCGAAGGCGGCCCCCUGGACAGAUACUGACACUCAGAUGCGAAAGCGUGGGGAGCAAACAGGAUUAGAUACCCUGGUAG